CUUAUGGAUGGACCCGCGGCGUAUUAGUUAGUUGGUGAGGUAACGGCUCACCAAGACGAUGAUACGUAGCCGACCUGAGAGGGUGAUCGGCCACAUUGGGACUGAGACACGGCCCAAACUCCUACGGGAGGCAGCAGUAGGGAAUCUUCCGCAAUGGACGAAAGUCUGACGGAGCAACGCCGCGUGAGUGAAGAAGGUUUUCGGAUCGUAAAACUCUGUUGUCAGAGAAGAACAAGUCGGAGAGUAACUGCUCCGGCCUUGACGGUAUCUGACCAGAAAGCCACGGCUAACUACGUGCCAGCAGCCGCGGUAAUACGCAGGUGGCAAGCGUUGUCCGGAUUUAUUGGGCGUAAAGCGAGCGCAGGCGGUUCCUUAAGUCUGAUGUGAAAGCCCACGGCUCAACCGUGGAAGGUCAUUGGAAACUGGGGAACUUGAGUGCAGAAGAGGAGAGUGGAAUUCCAUGUGUAGCGGUGAAAUGCGUAGAU
RNAcentral lists this ribosomal RNA (485 nucleotides) under Vagococcus sp. enrichment culture. RNAcentral describes it as "bacterial SSU rRNA". It matches the Rfam family "Bacterial small subunit ribosomal RNA", at positions 218 to 695 of the family's 1533-position model. Lineage: Bacteria; Bacillati; Bacillota; Bacilli; Lactobacillales; Enterococcaceae. The record is from RNAcentral.